Weissella viridescens is the source of this 94-nucleotide regulatory RNA element. It matches the Rfam family "THF (Tetrahydrofolate) riboswitch aptamer". From Rfam's summary of the family: THF riboswitch presents a pseudoknot that joins P1-P2 and the loop of P3 and two THF binding. The record is from Rfam. NCBI's taxonomy places the organism in Bacteria, Bacillati, Bacillota, Bacilli, Lactobacillales, Lactobacillaceae.
UACAGGGUAGGUUUUAAUGCGUCAAGUGUUGGGGAAACGGAAUGUGAUCCCCAAACGAAGGUUUAACCGCGAUAUUAUUACCACAUUCACUGUU